Molecule: long non-coding RNA, 218 nt
Organism: Hibiscus syriacus
Lineage: Eukaryota; Viridiplantae; Streptophyta; Magnoliopsida; Malvales; Malvaceae
Exons: 2
Source: RefSeq, a predicted model, not a curated record
CAAAGUUGAAGAGGAUCUGGAUAUUCUAUAUAGGCCUUUUGUAAAUGUAUAUUUUGGAGCAAUGUACCUUAAAUGGUUAUCAAACUUUGAAAACAAAGUUCGAACCGAAGAGUUUAUCAUCCGGGCUUAUAAGGGUGGUACAAAGAAAGCAACUCAUAAAUCAACCCUACCGUAUUGGAAGCGUUAUCUUUCUGUGAAAGAAACUUUUACACCCAGGU